UACGUAGGGUGCAAGCGUUGUCCGGAAUUAUUGGGCGUAAAGAGCUCGUAGGCGGUUUGUCGCGUCUGCUGUGAAAACUCGGGGCUUAACCCCGGGCCUGCAGUGGGUACGGGCAGACUAGAGUGCGGUAGGGGAGACUGGAAUUCCUGGUGUAGCGGUGAAAUGCGCAGAUAUCAGGAGGAACACCGGUGGCGAAGGCGGGUCUCUGGGCCGUAACUGACGCUGAGGUGCGAAAGCGUGGGGAGCAAGCAGG
Molecule: ribosomal RNA, 253 nt
Filed under: uncultured bacterium
Lineage: Bacteria
Description: partial 16S ribosomal RNA
Rfam family: Bacterial small subunit ribosomal RNA
Source: RNAcentral